Molecule: non-coding RNA, 130 nt
Organism: Podarcis lilfordi (Lilford's wall lizard)
Lineage: Eukaryota; Metazoa; Chordata; Lepidosauria; Squamata; Lacertidae
Source: the annotation of a GenBank genome assembly
CUUCCAGUAGCACCUUAGAGACCAACUAAGUUUGAUAUUGGUAUGAGCUUUCGUAUCUGAAGUAGUGUGCCUGCACACGAAAGUUCAUACCAAUAACAAACUUAGUUGGUCUCUAAGGUGCUACUGGAAG